Molecule: ribosomal RNA, 427 nt
Filed under: uncultured bacterium
Lineage: Bacteria
Description: bacterial SSU rRNA
Rfam family: Bacterial small subunit ribosomal RNA
Source: RNAcentral
UGGGGAAUAUUCCGCAAUGGACGAAAGUCUGACGGAGCAACGCCGCGUGAGUGAUGAAGGUUUUCGGACUGUAAAGCUCUGUUGUUUAGGACGAAAGUGCCUGUUGCGAACAGUUACAGGUAUUGACGGUACUAAACGAGGAAGCCACGGCUAACUACGUGCCAGCAGCCGCGGUAAUACGUAGGUGGCAAGCGUUGUCCGGAAUUAUUGGGCGUAAAGAGCAUGUAGGCGGAGAUUUAAGUCUGUUGUGAAAAUGCGGGGCUCAACCCCGUAUUGCAAUGGAAACUGAAUUUCUUGAGUGCAGGAGAGGAAAGGGGAAUUCCCAGUGUAGCGGUGAAAUGCGUAGAUAUUGGGAGGAACACCAGUGGCGAAGGCGCCUUUCUGGACUGUGUCUGACGCUGAGAUGCGAAAGCCAGGGUAGCGAACG